Molecule: long non-coding RNA, 374 nt
Organism: Salvelinus namaycush (lake trout)
Lineage: Eukaryota; Metazoa; Chordata; Actinopteri; Salmoniformes; Salmonidae
Exons: 3
Source: RefSeq, a predicted model, not a curated record
AGAGGGAAAAUCACUUUCAUCUGGAGAAGCUCGUCCGUUAACACGGGGCGGCCCAUCUGCAGGUCCCCGCUGUUCCUAAAAGAAAGAUUAAGGAUUUGAGUUGGCCUGACGGAGAGAUCUUCCAGGCGACUCCGGCCCAUGGAGGAUGCAGAGCAUCACAUCAGAUCAAACAUUGAUAAACCAGUACUUUACCAGCGUUUUAUCAAUAUCUUUAAAGGACGGGGAGUUUUUGCCACUGAAUUCAUAUCCAAAGGAGACUUUGUUGUGGAGUACCGAGGUGAACUGCUUACACAACAGGAGGGCGAGGUCCGAGCUGAUCAGUACAAUGAUUCUGCAAAGGUGUUUCUUUUCGAUUUCCAAUGGAAAGGAAGAAC